GCAGGAGUCAAACCGACAACCUGAAGCAGCCACUCACCUGUCCGGGACACUGAAGGAAGGAGCUGGUAAUCAGUCACUGUGCGUUUUGCUGUCUAUUGGUCUGUGUUACACUUAUUCAGUGCUGUCUCUGGUGUUCAGUUCACUCGCCUUCCAAUGUUAUUUCUGGCAGAGUGUGAGCGGUGAGAUUGUGUGAUCGGAGCCACAGACACAACUCUCGUGAGAGACGCUGCCUAAAUCUGCGAGCACUUCCCGGAUUCUCUGAUUUUACCCCAGGAAACUGUCUGGAGAAUCUUCAAUGCACUCCCUCUACAGAAAGUGCACCUUUCAUUAGGUACCCACGAUGAUCACACACUGACUGUACUUGAAACACACGGUGCCAAGACAACAAGAGGAUCGUCAGUCAGAGCCAAUGAAGUGACCAGCCCUUUAAUCCCAGGAUAGGAACUCCAGCACUCCA
Amblyraja radiata (thorny skate) is the source of this 457-nucleotide long non-coding RNA. RefSeq lists it as uncharacterized. The record is from RefSeq and is a predicted model, not a curated record. NCBI's taxonomy places the organism in Eukaryota, Metazoa, Chordata, Chondrichthyes, Rajiformes, Rajidae. The transcript has 3 exons.